Bombus pyrosoma is the source of this 1496-nucleotide long non-coding RNA. RefSeq lists it as uncharacterized. Lineage: Eukaryota; Metazoa; Arthropoda; Insecta; Hymenoptera; Apidae. The record is from RefSeq and is a predicted model, not a curated record. The transcript has 5 exons.
GCGAUAAAAACCGGAACGACUUCCAUGAUCACGAUCCAUGCUUAAUACAUGACAAAGUUCAUCGAUGAAAAGAGAGGACAGCGAGGAAAACAUGGAUAUUACCUGAACGAGGCGCUCUUCCUCUAAAAACAGGAAUUCUUUAACGACAAAAAUAGAGCCAAACGAUAACCAGUGAACACAACCCCGCAGAAAACAAGAACACCUAUUUAACGAUAGACUCGAUUCUCAUAUUAUAGGUACAAUAAUAUAUGCAAUCACAAUCAACUGAAAAGUCCAAAAUGAGAUCCAACUCACCGUCAAUGCGGGGUCCUGCGUGUAGCCUUAUCCAGCACCGUCAAAUCCAGUUCGUCUUUCGCACCAGUAUCCUUCAAUGAAAAGAAAACUUCAACGGGGAGAACCAAACCAGGAAGUCAGCAACAUUGGAUGAACACGCGGAUUGAAUGAUAGCAGAGAGAUCCAACGAUACAUAAAAUAAAAUCCAAAGGAAGCCGUAGCUUCAACUAAAACAGACAGGUGAAACAGACUUAACAACCAAAUGAACCGGCGUACGAUGGCCGAUAGCCGGCUAUCCGAGCGGAUUACAACCCCGGAGGAUGUAACGAGGCUGCGAGAAACGCGUGGACCACCGUGGCGAACUCGGCCGCGAUGCGACGGACGCACAUUUGGCAGCGUCGUUAUCAGUCGCGGUCCGACGAUUGGCUGUGUAUCGGAGCCUGCGCCGGGACGCCGGGAGAGAGGGUGGAGAUGGCGGUGGAGGAGAUAGAUUCAGUGGAUCCAAUAGUCGCGACUGAAAGUGAGACGAGCAGCACACCGUGCAUAGCCGAUUAUACGUGGAAACGGUUGACGAUGGCCGCGACCGGAAGUAGCACGGAUCCACCGUGGUCCGGACACGAAAACGCACUCAUCGAUCAGGACACAAAAGGUUCGAUGUUUCUCGCACGAUUGACACCGUUCCUUGCUUCACGAUUGGAGGCUUCACGCAUGAACAACGAGCCACGGCUAGACAUGGUUCGUGAUUUCCACCGGAAACGAACUGGCCAAGGGGAAUGGUCGUUGAAACGGAGAAGAACUGCUCGAUUUGAGACUGAUUCUUAACGGUGAUCGGUUUAAUCGAUUAUUCACGAAUCACUAGAUCUGCAUCUUGUACUAAUCUCGAGUAACUAAGCCCGAAAUAUGGCCCGUAGUUGAGCGUAAAUCUGGGACCCUUUAAUUGGAAACAAUGGUCCGACGAGAAUAGAUUAGAGCGUUGAAAAGGCGUGCACAAUCGCGGCACGCUUCUGCCGCGCGUAGAUUUCACCCGAGGGAAUCGUCGAUAUCGCGUGAUUUAAUUUGUUACAAUUAGGGCAAAGGGUCCCUUAGGUAGAACAGCACAGAGUGCCAGGCCAAAAGAGCGACAGAACGUGACAGACAGAGGCAGUACGAGCGAGUUCACCGCGCCCUGCUAUUAAUAUCAGUUAACGACCCGAUAUGAUCGCUCGUCUAUACUCACAGACAGG